GAAGGUAGGUCCUUCGGCAUCGGCAUGCAGGUGCAGGUGUCAAACCGCCCCGAGCUGCUGCGGUGAAUGAGCCGUGGUGGUGAGCGUGCGGGGAAAAGCCUUGCAGGACAAGGCAGGU
Molecule: non-coding RNA, 118 nt
Organism: Mycobacterium sp. 852002-51759_SCH5129042
Lineage: Bacteria; Bacillati; Actinomycetota; Actinomycetes; Mycobacteriales; Mycobacteriaceae
Source: Rfam